CGUAAGGGUGCGUAACGCGUGAGCAACAUGCCCGCAACAGGCGGAUAGACCGUGGAAACGCGGCGUAAACCGCCAUAGGACCAGUAGCAGCAUUGCAACAGGUUGAAAUCUUCGGAGGCUGCGGAUUGGCUCGCGUAACAUUAGCUAGAUGGAGAGGUAACGGCUCACCAUGGCUACGAUGUUUAGGGGAACUGAGAGGUUGACCCCCCACACUGGAACUGAGACACGGUCCAGACUCCUACGGGAGGCAGCAGUGAGGAAUAUUGGACAAUGGAUGGAAAUCUGAUCCAGCCAUGCCGCGUGCAGGAAGAAGGUCCUAUGGAUUGUAAACUGCUUUAGUGCGGGAGCAAUAAGGUCCACGAGUGGACCGAUGAGAGUACCGCAAGAAUAAGCAUCGGCUAACUCCGUGCCAGCAGCCGCGGUAAUACGGAGGAUCCGAGCGUUAUCCGGAUUUAUUGGGUUUAAAGGGUGCGUAGGCUGACUGAUAAGUCAGCGGUGAAAAGCAUAGGCUUAACCUAUGUCUUGCCGUUGAUACUGUCAGACUAGAAUAUAAAUGGAGUAGGCGGAAUGAAUCAUGUAGAGGUGACAUUCAUAGAUAUGAUUUAGAACACCGUUCGCGAAGGCGGCUUACUAAGAUAUAAUCGACGCUGAUGCACGAAAGCGUGGGUAUCGAACAGGAUUAGAUACCCUGGUAGUCCACGCUGUAAACUAUGAUAACUCGCUGUCGGCGAUAGAAUGUCGGUGACCAAGCGAAAGCGAUAAGUUAUCCACCUGGGGAGUACGAUCGCAAGGUUGAAACUCAAAGGAAUUGACGGGGGCCCGCACAAGCGGAGGAGCAUGUGGUUUAAUUCGAUGAUACGCGAGGAACCUUACCUAGACUUGAACGUAACAGUAAU
This 896-nucleotide ribosomal RNA is filed under the name uncultured bacterium. RNAcentral describes it as "bacterial SSU rRNA". It matches the Rfam family "Bacterial small subunit ribosomal RNA", at positions 99 to 997 of the family's 1533-position model. The record is from RNAcentral.